UUGACGAUCGACGACAUCGACGUGCCGGCUUGGCGGGAUCAGACUUCAAGGCGAGCACGCGCACCAAGGCAGGGAGCGAGCGCAGCCAAGCCUACGCCCGAGGCAAGGACCAGAGGUGAGGACCGGCGAGCCCCAUGGCGAGCUGGGAGCAGUGUUCGGCGACCUGGCGUCUUGCACGGUGACAGGAGUAAGCAGCUGGUUGCGAGGUCGCCGAGGAGCAUGGCCGCGCAGCCAGGCCAAGCUGAGGAGGAGCAGGGAUGGCGCGGGCCAAACACCGAGCCGUGGCUAGAAGGGACUCGCCAUGGCCGAGCAGAGAGGGACGCGGUCCGAGCGGAGGAGCGCGGCAAACCUGAAGGUGAGCAGGCAGGGGCGGACGCGCCAGGAACAAGAGAGCAGGUGCCAGGGACACGACAGCAGGGAGGAGCAGGAAGGUUGGGCGGCCGAGAAGGAGAAGUCCCAGCACCAUGGGAAGCAUGGGAGCUCUGGCCGGCGCGUAGGAAGAAGACGAGGGAGGCCGUGGCGAGUGAACACUAG
RNAcentral lists this unclassified non-coding RNA (534 nucleotides) under Zea mays. RNAcentral describes it as "misc RNA Zm00001eb138220". The record is from RNAcentral. Lineage: Eukaryota; Viridiplantae; Streptophyta; Magnoliopsida; Poales; Poaceae.